GAUGCCUUAGCUCAGCUUAGUUGGUCAGAGCAUGGCGUUGACAAUGCCAAGGCUGUGGGUUUGGUCCCCAUAGGGACCA
Molecule: transfer RNA, 79 nt
Filed under: Ficedula albicollis (Collared flycatcher)
Lineage: Eukaryota; Metazoa; Chordata; Aves; Passeriformes; Muscicapidae
Rfam family: tRNA
About the family: Transfer RNA (tRNA) molecules are approximately 80 nucleotides in length. Their secondary structure includes four short double-helical elements and three loops (D, anti-codon, and T loops).
Source: Rfam by way of RNAcentral